UUUUUUUUUUUUUUUCAGAAAUGUUUUAAGAUUGGGAUUACCAGUUUUUUGCUUCUGUCUGUUGUGAAAGAGACAAAUGAAAGUGGCAGUGAAGACUGAGGAGUAGUAAAACUCGUCUGGUUGAUGUGAUGUUUGUCGAGGACUUUGGAGAUUUUAUGUACUUUUUCCGUACAGUCAAUGGCCUGGAAUGUUGGUUUUCUGUUUCGCAAUUCAUCGUUGCUUGUUCUUCGAUAGUGCGAUAGUGCAAAACUGAUUUGUAGAGUAAUUUGGUUUUAAAUUUGGAUCAGUUCCAUGCGGUCCUUUCCUCUUCGUUUUUACCUUGCCAUUGUUAUUUGAUGCUGAUUUUUUUAGUUCUUUUUGGCAUUUGGGAUGUUUUUGUGUUGAUCAUUCUGCUACUUUGCACGUCUUUUGUUCUGAUUCUUCAUGUUCACCAAAUGCUUCCCAUGCGGAAAGAUGUUAAAAUGUAUUUAGUUAUAACUGUUGAGGUUAUUGUCCUGGC
Molecule: unclassified non-coding RNA, 499 nt
Filed under: Hevea brasiliensis (rubber tree)
Lineage: Eukaryota; Viridiplantae; Streptophyta; Magnoliopsida; Malpighiales; Euphorbiaceae
Source: RNAcentral